Non-coding RNA from Amborella trichopoda, 328 nucleotides. Lineage: Eukaryota; Viridiplantae; Streptophyta; Magnoliopsida; Amborellales; Amborellaceae. The record is from RefSeq and is a predicted model, not a curated record.
UAUCGGUGAUCUUUGAGGCGUGGAGCUUGUCGAUCACAUGUUGUCCUGGAUUAGCUAGUGCGAGCUGCAUACACAGUUUUUUUUACAGCUGCUAUGCAGCUCUUCUAGAGCAUGGAUACCACUGGUGUCAAUGUUGAUAACAGCUGCACCAACCAAACUAGCAAAUGUCAGGCCUUUCCUGUCUAGCUCUUGUGUUUCAUCACUCAACCAUCGGAGGAUUCUGCAUUUAGACAUUGGAGGUCACUAGUAUCUCUCUCCAACCUUUUAUUUUGAUAAUAUAUACUUCUUUAUCAAUAAAAGAGAGGGAGAAGAUAAUUACCUCUCUCUA